This 459-nucleotide ribosomal RNA is filed under the name uncultured bacterium. RNAcentral describes it as "partial 16S ribosomal RNA". It matches the Rfam family "Bacterial small subunit ribosomal RNA", at positions 338 to 795 of the family's 1533-position model. The record is from RNAcentral.
CCUACGGGAGGCAGCAGUGAGGAAUAUUGGUCAAUGGACGAAAGCCUGAACCAGCCAUGUCGCGUGCAGGAUGACGGCUCUAUGAGUUGUAAACUUCUUUUGUCAAGGGAUAAAAUGAGGCACGUGUUCCUGUCUGUGUGUACCUUAAGAAUAAGCAUCGGCUAACUCCGUGCCAGCAGCCGCGGUAAUACGGAGGAUGCGAGCGUUAUCCGGAUUUAUUGGGUUUAAAGGGUGCGUAGGUGGUCAUUUAAGUCAGCGGUAAAAGCUGUGGGCUCAACCCAGGCGUGCCGUUGAAACUGGGUGUCUUGAGAAGUCGAGAGGUAUGCGGAAUGCGUGGUGUAGCGGUGAAAUGCUUAGAUAUUGCGCAGAACUCCGAUUGCGAAGGCAGCAUACCGGCGGCGAUCUGACGCUGAGGCACGAAAGCGUGGGUAUCGAACAGGAUUAGAUACCCUUGUAGUC